Molecule: long non-coding RNA, 602 nt
Filed under: Homo sapiens (human)
Lineage: Eukaryota; Metazoa; Chordata; Mammalia; Primates; Hominidae
Description: non-protein coding LINC01394:34
Source: RNAcentral
CAUCCCUCCAUCCUCCAGCUGGGCACAGAGGUUGCCAAAAGGGCCAGUAGGAGGAGAAGGCUUCAUGGAGGACGGGGGCAAGAGCGGGCCGACCAUGCUGGCUUCCUCGCCUUGUGUCUGGCUGACUGCACAGGCCUGAGGAGGCUGUGUGUAAGUUGGCAAAUGACAGGAAGAGCAUGUGCUUCUAAUCACCCACCCAUCUUAAUAACGUCGAACAGAUACAGUGCAGAAACUAUUGCACAACCACCAGCAUUUCAUUACAUCAGAAUCCUUGCCAAUUUGAAAGAGGUCCUUGAAUCCAGGGAGAGUUACAUCUUUACGUUUUUGAUCACGAUCCUCUUGGAAGAUACUUAUUAGGGCCAUUUGUUGAUGACAAUAUUAAGAAUUAGCAAAUAUCUUCUUAAAUAUAACAAAAAUUGAAUUGUUUCAUUAGAGAACUAUAAAGUCUGUUAUUUAAGAGGAAACUGUUGUGCUGUUCAAAAGCAGGAAAGAAUUGUUGAAGGACUCUUCCUGGUCUCCUUUCUAGAACUGAGGCAACUCAGCUAUUGUAGUCAAAAGAAUUUUUAAAAAAUUAGUAAAGAGAAAAGCAGAAUCUUCGUACA